This 1698-nucleotide long non-coding RNA is filed under the name Malus domestica (apple). RNAcentral describes it as "long non-coding RNA (MDOM_LNC005565)". The record is from RNAcentral. Lineage: Eukaryota; Viridiplantae; Streptophyta; Magnoliopsida; Rosales; Rosaceae.
AUUCACAGUGCUAUCCUUGUUGGCAUCUGCAGCCUCAUUCUCUCCCGACUGCUUCUCAGCACCAAAAUUCUUCUCAGUUUCAGUGCCAGGCUCCUCAAUCUCCCUAAUAUAUAGCAAAAAUGUGUAUGCAAGUAAGGUACAUACCAAACAAAUGUGAAACAAUUUGUUUUGUAAAGUUCUAGUUUGAAAUUCAUCUUGAAAUCAGAAUAUAAAUACUUACGGAGCAAUGUCAUCGGAGGGUGUUCCCCAAUUCCCCCGUCCAGACCCUUCACGCUUAAUAUCACUCCUGAUAUUCCAAAUAUAUUCAAUAUCAAAAUGAAGAAAGCAGAAAGAUCCACACAUGAAAAGUUAAAUAUAUAAAGAACUGAUUGUAAAAUACUAACCCACGUCCUGUACCACUGUGACGAUCAAAAACCCUCCGAGGGCGUUCCCCUUCACCAUCCUCACCAUUCUUGUAACCACCACGACGCCCACCACGGAAGGAGCCACGAGGAGCACCAUAGCCACCACGUCUUUCAGAGGCUUUCCCAUCUCCCUCUUCAGAUGGUCUGUAGCCACCAGAAAAACCAUUGGUGUUCUCAUUGCUGAUUGGAUCUCGAUUAAAUUCACCACCACCACCUCCUCCACCACGCCCACGACUGAACCCACGUCCACCGCCACUACCACGGCCACCUCCACGGCCACCUUCAUACUUUCCAUCCCUCACUGCAUAUGUUACACACGGUUAUUUGAUAUGCAUAAUAAUUAAAACAUUAUUUGUAUAAAAUAUAACCAUAUCCAUAUGUGAUUCAAGAGAGGACCAUAAAAAAUCUUUCCAGUACCUCGACGAAAAGCACAUGUUAUUGAGCAGAAAAACUUCACUACUAAUGUGUAAUAAAAUAUGAAUGAUACCUCUGCUAAACCAACAGAAAUUCGACAGUUUAUUUUUAAAUUUGAGCCACACGAACUAUAAGAAUAAGGGUUUACCAUCUCAAAGUACUUAAAAACAAAAUACUUUCCGUUAACUGGCAUCCCCUGACCGUACCUCUUAAUAAGAUAAUAAUCAAUCAGAUGUCAAAGUAUAAAAAUUGGGACAUUAAAAGCACGAUCGUGCCACGAUUCAUUAGAUUUCAAUUUACCAGUUCUAAUGGUUCAAUCUCAAUUUGGAGAUGGAAAACUUACCACAAUAAAAACCCAAUACAGUCUUUGUUAAUUACCCUAGAAAACCAAACUCUACGAACAUCCACUGCCACACAUACAGAAAACUUUACACCACAUCACAUCAGAUAUGUACAAUAUCAAUGAAGAAUCCCCCAAAUAUCAAUAACUUAUCAAAACAACCACUUUUCACUUCAACAAAAAACACAACAAAAAAACACUUUCUCAAUGGAAUCCAACAAGUGAGAAUAAGAUAACAACUAGAUUAAAACGCAAAUUUUAAUCUCCAUUUCCAAGCAAACCCAACAAUGUUUUCAGCAAACAAAACCCAGAAAUGAAGUUAAGCAGCAAAGAAAUGAAUAGAAAAGAGACCAGAUUGUGCAGGGGGGAGUGGCUUGGAGGGAAGCUUAGCAGGCUGAGCAGGCUGGGUCUGCUGGGGUUUCUUGGGCUGCGCCACCGGCAGCUUCUGCUGCUGAGCAGCGAGAAGUUGACUUGGGUCCUCAUUGUCGUCAUCCCCCAAGAGAUCGAAAGGGUUCGCGGUUGCCAUUUCUGCAGCUCCGA